This 279-nucleotide unclassified non-coding RNA is filed under the name Hevea brasiliensis (rubber tree). Lineage: Eukaryota; Viridiplantae; Streptophyta; Magnoliopsida; Malpighiales; Euphorbiaceae. The record is from RNAcentral.
UCUGAAAAAAAGCCAGUUUACGUAGUCGCAAAAUUGAGAAGAAAGUAUAGAACAUGUGGAGGAAUCGAGAAAGAUAGUGCAUGUGUGACCAGAAGAAAACGCGACCAGAAGGGCAUGUCCCAAGAGGAAAACAGAGGAGCCACUAAAAUGGGGUCUUUGAGCGCAGCCAAAACAUCGGGUCUCUCAGAUCUCCGCCACUGUGGAAAGGAGAAUGCCAGCAAAAAUGGUUGCCGAAAUUAACACCAUGGAGAGACUAUGAAAGGCAGGGAUGGGACCAAG